GAUGAACGCUGACAGAAUGCUUAACACAUGCAAGUCUACUUGAACUUCGGUUUGGGUGGCGGACGGGUGAGUAACGCGUAAAGAACUUGCCUCACAGAUAGGGACAACAUUUGGAAACGAAUGCUAAUACCGGAUAUUAUGAUCUUAGGGCAUCCUAGAAUUAUGAAAGCUAUAUGCACUGUGAGAGAGCUUUGCGUCCCAUUAGCUAGUUGGAGAGGUAACGGCUCACCAAGGCGAUGAUGGGUAGCCGGCCUGGGAGGGUGAUCGGCCACAAGGGGACUGAGACACGGCCCUUACUCCUUCGGGGGGCAGCGGUGGGGACUUUUGGACAAUGGGCCAAGAGUCUGAUCCAGCACUUCUGUGUGCACGAUGAAGUUUUUCGGAAUGUAAAGUGCUUUCAGUUGGGAAGAAAAAAAUGACGGUACCAACAGAAGAAGUGACGGCUAAAUACGUG
Molecule: ribosomal RNA, 454 nt
Filed under: uncultured bacterium
Lineage: Bacteria
Description: partial 16S ribosomal RNA
Rfam family: Bacterial small subunit ribosomal RNA
Source: RNAcentral